UACAGAGGGUGCGAGCGUUAAUCGGAAUUACUGGGCGUAAAGCGCGCGUAGGCGGCUUUGCAAGUCGGGUGUGAAAUCCCCAGGCUUAACCUGGGAACUGCAUUCGAGACUGCAUUGCUAGAGUAUGGGAGAGGGAAGUGGAAUUUCCGGUGUAGCGGUGAAAUGCGUAGAUAUCGGGAGGAACACCCGUAGCGAAGGCGGCACUCUGGGCCGGAACUGACGCUGAGGAGCGAAAGCGUGGGGAGCAAACAGG
This 253-nucleotide ribosomal RNA is filed under the name uncultured bacterium. RNAcentral describes it as "partial 16S ribosomal RNA". It matches the Rfam family "Bacterial small subunit ribosomal RNA", at positions 524 to 776 of the family's 1533-position model. The record is from RNAcentral.